This 503-nucleotide ribosomal RNA is filed under the name uncultured bacterium. Its description in RNAcentral is "bacterial SSU rRNA". It matches the Rfam family "Bacterial small subunit ribosomal RNA", at positions 8 to 507 of the family's 1533-position model. The record is from RNAcentral.
AGAGUUUGAUCAUGGCUCAGAUUGAACGCUGGCGGAAUGCUUUACACAUGCAAGUCGAACGGCAGCACGGGGCAACCUGGUGGCGAGUGGCGAACGGGUGAGUAAUACAUCGGAACGUGCCCAAUCGUGGGGGAUAACGUAGCGAAAGUUACGCUAAUACCGCAUACGAUCUACGGAUGAAAGCGGGGGAUCGCAAGACCUCGCGCGAGUGGAGCGGCCGAUGUCAGAUUAGGUAGUUGGUGGGGUAAAGGCUCACCAAGCAACCCGAUCUGUAGCUGGUCUGAGAGGACGACCAGCCACACUGGAACUGAGACACGGUCCAGACUCCUACGGGAGGCAGCAGUGGGGAAUUUUGGACAAUGGGCGCAAGCCUGAUCCAGCCAUUCCGCGUGCAGGAUGAAGGCCUUCGGGUUGUAAACUGCUUUUGUACGGAACGAAACGGCGAGCUCUAAUACAGUUUGCUAAUGACGGUACCGUAAGAAUAAACACCGGCUAACUACGUG